RNAcentral lists this ribosomal RNA (440 nucleotides) under uncultured Gracilibacter sp. RNAcentral's name for it is "bacterial SSU rRNA". It matches the Rfam family "Bacterial small subunit ribosomal RNA", at positions 338 to 795 of the family's 1533-position model. Lineage: Bacteria; Bacillati; Bacillota; Clostridia; Eubacteriales; Gracilibacteraceae. The record is from RNAcentral.
CCUACGGGAGGCAGCAGUGGGGAAUAUUGCGCAAUGGGGGGAACCCUGACGCAGCAACGCCGCGUGGAGGAAGAAGGUCUUCGGAUUGUAAACUCCUGUCUUCCGGGACGAUAAUGACGGUACCGGAGGAGGAAGCCACGGCUAACUACGUGCCAGCAGCCGCGGUAAUACGUAGGUGGCGAGCGUUGUCCGGAAUUACUGGGCGUAAAGGGCGCGUAGGCGGUUUGUUAAGUUAGAUGUGAAAACCCAGGGCUUAACUUUGGGCGUGCAUUUAAAACUGGAGAACUUGAGUGCAGGAGAGGUAAGUGGAAUUCCUAGUGUAGCGGUGAAAUGCGUAGAUAUUAGGAGGAACACCAGUGGCGAAGGCGACUUACUGGACUGUAACUGACGCUGAGGCGCGAAAGCGUGGGGAGCAAACAGGAUUAGAUACCCUUGUAGUC